RNAcentral lists this transfer RNA (73 nucleotides) under Paramuricea clavata. It matches the Rfam family "tRNA". From Rfam's summary of the family: Transfer RNA (tRNA) molecules are approximately 80 nucleotides in length. Their secondary structure includes four short double-helical elements and three loops (D, anti-codon, and T loops). The record is from Rfam by way of RNAcentral. Lineage: Eukaryota; Metazoa; Cnidaria; Anthozoa; Malacalcyonacea; Plexauridae.
GACCGCGUAGCUCAGUUGGCAGAGCAUUGGGCUAGUAUUCCAAAGGUCGUAGGUUCGAUUCUCACCGUGGACA